This is a long non-coding RNA of Seriola aureovittata, 2488 nucleotides long. RefSeq lists it as uncharacterized. The transcript has 4 exons. The record is from RefSeq and is a predicted model, not a curated record. NCBI's taxonomy places the organism in Eukaryota, Metazoa, Chordata, Actinopteri, Carangiformes, Carangidae.
AAUUGUGCAUGCUACAAAUGAACACAAUAUGUGAGUUACAGUACAAAUUAAUAACCAUAUUUGAUUGGAGGAAGAAAGGGUAUUUUUGUGGUUAUCGUAGCUGUGAGAUUGGUUUAGAGCUCACUAGGAUUUACAGUUUUGUAAAUUAAUCAUGUAGAUUUCAUUUCAUUUCAUUUUGCAUUGUCUAUAUAGUUCCUUUGAAGUUCAAAUUUUUCUUUAAACCCAAACUUUUAUAUUUUUUACUUAUCAUAGCCCAAAAAGCACAGGUGGAACUAAUGAAAUUAAAGGUGCAACAUGUAAGUAUUUUAGUUUAAGACAUUCAAAAAUUAACACAAUUUAUCAACAAAUUGUUGAUAUAUGUCAAAGAUGUUUAUAUCUAUACAUGUAUGUAUACAGAGAUAUCUACUGAAGUUUGCAUGAUAACCAGCUAACCCUGGCUCGUCUCGCGGUACCACUUUGUACAUCAAGAGGUGAUAGUGAGGCACUGUAGUGUACGGUCUGCCCUCAGUCCAACAUGAGAGGAUGAAGAAGUAGCGCUGUCCAUAGGACAAGAAACCGAGACAUGUUCAGCAGCAAAGAAAAUAAUGAUAGAAAUAGAAGCAAAACAACAGUUAACAUUAGCAUUGCUUUCAACCACGGGAGACGGCCCUUGGAGAGUACAGGAAUUAAGUUUGAUGCUGAAUUCACAAUGUUUCCUCUAGGCUGGCGAGUAAACAACUGCUAAUUCUAACAUUGGCUAUGUAGCGAUAUCAAAUACUUACAUACAGCACCUUUAAUGAUGGCUCUUUUCCAGCAGUUAACAGUUAACGAUGUCAUUGCUUACACCUGUGGUUAACAACUCAAAAUGUCUUGUGAAAGUUGGAUUGUUAUUUCAAUCUGUUAAAUUCUCUGUAAAAAGCAUGUCUUCUGGUGAAUUUAAUCAAUUAACCAAUAAAUUAAUUAAUCAAUUAAAUAUUUUGAAUCUGUAGUAGCUAUUGGCCCAAAUAUAAAAUUAUAUUUCUUCUAAUUGUGUUCUUUUACAAAAGCAGGUGCUCUCCAUUGAUGGAGUGUGUCCAUAACUUGCUGUUGCAUUAUUUAGCUAUAUGUUGCUAGCCUAGCAAGUUUCACCCAUCCACUCGUUGCACACCUGCUUAAGUUAACCAACUGCAAAAGUGUCAGGUCUAACCCACAGGAGUUAUCUCCCAGCUGUGCUAAGCUGUCUGAAAAAUGCUAACAGUAAGAAAACAUCUUUUGUGCUUCAAAGGUCCUGCUUCAGAGAACUUUCUCUGAAAAGUGUUUGAAUAUAGGACUGAAAAACAGGGUGAGGUCAGGAAUGAAAAAAGUUACAUAUUUACUUUAAUUGAUUUGCCAUAUUUUAUAAUGAUACCUUGAUGACGCAUUUAAAAAAUAUGUUAGCAUUAAAUAUGGUAUUAGGGAUGUCACAAACGUCAAGGACGUAUGUAGGAGUGAAGCAUCUGAACUUAUAAAACAGCUUUGGUAGUAACGGGACUGUGCCGAGCGUUAGGAUUGGCUGGGGGUUAGAAGGAAGUGCAGGUAAACUAAAAGCACGCUCAAGUUGUUGAGACUGUUCACGUGUUGUCUGACCCGCAGCGUUUCUCAGUAAACGAGUAAACUGAAAACAAAGGCUCUGGUAUCUGACAACGAGAACCGAUUGGCCAUUUUCGGUACCAAGUCAAUGCUAUAAUUCUGACAAUGUGAUGUCUGCAGUAGGUACAGAAGGGUGAUAUAGAUGAUCGUACUCUCUAUUCUUCCAGGACUGAGGAGAGCAGUAUAAUAACCCCCACGAGCGGUGUAGUCUGACAUCAAACUCAAAAGAGAAGGAGAAGGCAGGCACAGUAAACAUUAACUACAACACGUGGGAUGGCAGCAGCAAGUGAUGCGUGAUUGCCAAUAAGCGCAUGGGGAAUAAGGGGAUGUGAGCACACUGGACCCAAACCUCAAAAGUCUGAAAAUCCCCAUGCCUAGAUACACCUAGCUAUUGUAGGGAGAGCGGGGAGGACCAACAAAGCACAAUAAAAAUUCUUAAAAUUUCCCAAACAUCAAUGAGAAAGCACAGACCCUGUGGUAACCUCAGUGAGGAAUGUCACACCAGUGUCAGACACCGCUUGAAGAGAUGGAACAGGACAGGACCAACGAUGCCGGUCGUCCCUCAGCAAAAUCUCAGACCUGCAGCUGUGGGAAAGGAAGUGGCUGUGCGUGUGUCUAUUUAAACACCGGUGUAACCUGGAACGGUGCGAGUCUGCGACUGUGCCCGGGAACGCUCCUGUUCUGCGGUGCAGACAUUUUUAUCGGUUUGAUACUAAUAGAUGACAGUACAACACACCAUCACUUGCACGUAUUUGAUUGGCAAACACAGCGCAUUGCAGGAUGGCGUUGCAUGAUGUUUUUUUUGCCAGAGCUUUCUGCUUUUUUCUGUCUGAACACGACCUUAUCCUUGUGACAGAGUAGCCACCUGUCCGGGGUUUUGUCCAAAGCCUGUUUGAAUAAA